AACGAACGCUGGCGGCAGGCCUAACACAUGCAAGUCGAGCGAGGACUUCGGUCCUAGCGGCGGACGGGUGAGUAACGCGUGGGAACGUGCCCUUUGCUUCGGAAUAGCCCUGGGAAACUGGGAGUAAUACCGGAUGAGCCCUUUGGGGGAAAGAUUUAUCGGCGAAGGAUCGGCCCGCGUUGGAUUAGGUAGUUGGUGGGGUAAUGGCCUACCAAGCCGACGAUCCAUAGCUGGUUUGAGAGGAUGAUCAGCCACACUGGGACUGGGAAACGGCCCAGACUCCUACGGGAGGCAGCAGUGGGGAAUGUUAGACAAUGGGGGAAACCCUGAUCGAGCCAUGCCGCGUGAGCGAUGAAGGCCUUAGGGUUGUAAAGCUCUUUCAGCUGGGAAGAUAAUGACGGUACCAGCAGAAGAAGCCCCGGCUAACUCCGUG
RNAcentral lists this ribosomal RNA (433 nucleotides) under uncultured bacterium. Its description in RNAcentral is "partial 16S ribosomal RNA". It matches the Rfam family "Bacterial small subunit ribosomal RNA", at positions 29 to 507 of the family's 1533-position model. The record is from RNAcentral.